CUACGGGGUGCAGCAGUGGGGAAUAUUGGACAAUGGGGGAAACCCUGAUCCAGCAAUACCGCGUGUGUGAAGAAGGCCUGCGGGUUGUAAAGCACUUUCGGUUGGGAGGACUGCUUCUAGCACUAAUAUUGUUGGAAGUUGACGUUACCUUCAGAAGAAGCACCGGCUAACUCCGUGCCAGCAGCCGCGGUAAUACGGAGGGUGCAAGCGUUAAUCGGAAUUACUGGGCGUAAAGCGCGCGUAGGCGGUUAGAUCAGUCGGGUGUGAAAGCCCCGGGCUUAACCUGGGAACUGCAUCCGAUACUGUCUAGCUUGAGUACAGGAGAGGAGAGUGGAAUUCCACAUGUAGCGGUGAAAUGCGUAGAUAUGUGGAGGAACACCAAUGGCGAAGGCAGCUCUCUGGCCUGAUACUGACGCUGAGGUGCAAAAGCGUGGGGAGCAAACAGGAUUAGAUACCCGUGUAGUC
RNAcentral lists this ribosomal RNA (465 nucleotides) under uncultured bacterium. Its description in RNAcentral is "partial 16S ribosomal RNA". It matches the Rfam family "Bacterial small subunit ribosomal RNA", at positions 339 to 795 of the family's 1533-position model. The record is from RNAcentral.